AAACAGGUAGCAUUCCUCAGGGACAUCGAGCCACGAGACGUAAAACAUUUACGCGACGUCGAGCGUCGAUCGAAUGGGGCGUUUAAUGCCAAUUCGUGGGCAAAUAGAGAGGUCGAAGACCCCUUACCCGCAGUGUUUUCCGCAUCCCAAAAGUCUAGCUACGGUCGUGUGCCGCGAUGCAUAGCAUUCUAUGCAAAUCGGAACACAAAUUUCGCUUUGAGGUUCACCCGAAGCCGCACCGUGUAGACGGGCAGUAAUAGGAGAACUUUGUAAAGAUUGCCCGCACAAUUCCGUCAAUGUAGGUAUGCAACACAGGAAACCGGAAACUCGGCCAAGGCGUAAACAGCUCUUGUGCCAACAAAUGAAGAGGAAUGCACGAAAGGACGUCGCUACCCAAGUAGGGAUCCAA
This 409-nucleotide unclassified non-coding RNA is filed under the name Psychotria pulchristipula. RNAcentral's name for it is "partial external transcribed spacer". The record is from RNAcentral. Lineage: Eukaryota; Viridiplantae; Streptophyta; Magnoliopsida; Gentianales; Rubiaceae.